This 495-nucleotide ribosomal RNA is filed under the name uncultured bacterium. RNAcentral describes it as "partial 16S ribosomal RNA". It matches the Rfam family "Bacterial small subunit ribosomal RNA", at positions 28 to 507 of the family's 1533-position model. The record is from RNAcentral.
GACGAACGCUGGCGGCGUGCCUAAUACAUGCAAGUAGAACGCUGAAGGAGGAGCUUGCUUCUCCGGAUGAGUUGCGAACGGGUGAGUAACGCGUAGGUAACCUGCCUGGUAGCGGGGGAUAACUAUUGGAAACGAUAGCUAAUACCGCAUAACAGUAGAUGUUGCAUGACAUUUGCUUAAAAGGUGCAAUUGCAUCACUACCAGAUGGACCUGCGUUGUAUUAGCUAGUUGGUGAGGUAACGGCUCACCAAGGCGACGAUACAUAGCCGACCUGAGAGGGUGCUCGGCCACACUGGGACUGAGACACGGCCCAGACUCCUACGGGAGGCAGCAGUAGGGAAUCUUCGGCAAUGGACGGAAGUCUGACCGAGCAACGCCGCGUGAGUGAAGAAGGUUUUCGGAUCGUAAAGCUCUGUUGUAAGAGAAGAACGAGUGUGAGAGUGGAAAGUUCACACUGUGACGGUAUCUUACCAGAAAGGGACGGCUAACUACGUG